Molecule: non-coding RNA, 18 nt
Filed under: Arabidopsis thaliana (thale cress)
Lineage: Eukaryota; Viridiplantae; Streptophyta; Magnoliopsida; Brassicales; Brassicaceae
Source: RNAcentral
UUUGUGCUAAAUCAUUCU